UUGUAUUGUUUGGUUGUAAAUUUGCGCUCCGACAUUCCGUUUGUAGAAGCAUCUCGAUUUCCUCUACACACUGUCAAAUAAAGAAAUAAAUACAAUUAACAAUCAACUAAAUGAAAAAGAUUUAGAAAAACACAUAUGACGUCAAAUUAUAUAUGAAGAGACAUGAACAAAAUAUAAAAUACAUAUGACAUCCUAUAAUUGUAAUUAUAGUCAUAAACGAAUAUAUAUCAUUAAUCACGAAUGAAUACACUUACAAUCAUAAUGAAUACCUACCAUAGUUGUAGAUCUCAUGAGGCUCGUGACAAAACCCACUGUUGACUUAGAGAGUGUCACAAAUGAGAUCAUAAUUACUGUUAUACUCUUUAGGAAUAACAACUUAUAUUCUAUUUUAUAUAUAAUAGGUUUUAUUAAAAAUAUAAAAAGAAGAAUACACUAAACAUUUCAUCAAACAAUUUGUAUGCAUACAAAAUAUGCAAAUCUAUUAAGAAUAAAAACUACUUUUAAUAGUAUAGAUUAGUGAGGCUCUUUAGAAUGUUCACAGGAUAUGCUAACCUUAUAAAUUUUAGUUGCAAAUCAAGGACCAGAAAGUAAGCGUAGGCAAAGGAAUUGAUUAAACAACAGUACAUGUAAUAAUGAGAUGCUAACUUGAAAUUCUACUGAUGCCCUUGCUUUAUGGAAAUCGACUAGAAUAAAUAGAUGUUAUUAUAGAGAUUAAUUGGUACUAGAACUUGAUUAAAGCCCUGGUUUAUAGAAAUUAAUUGUGAUUUGGAUUAUGCUUGCAAGUAUAUGAAGAGGGUAAAAUCAGAAUUAUAGAGUUCCGAUUCCCUCUCAAUACGUGAUUAAUUUCCUUUCAUACCAAGUAGCCCUUGCUUUAUGAAAACCCUAAUUUCAGAAAAAAUAAUGACGAUUAAGAGGAACAACGAUGGUGAUAGAAAUUCGAAAAAAAUCACCUGAAAAUGGGAUGCCGAUCAUUCUUUUAAGGAUUGUUAUGGAGGUGGAAAAGGUGGACCAUGGUUUUGACGAACGUGAACAAUUGCAUCUUGGGUCGUGGUGGUUGUUCGAGGGAAACGAUGCCCGACCUAUAAACGUCGGCUAUACAUAAACUUCAUGAGUUAGCGAGUUAUGAUGGUCAGAUUAUGGAUGUGAGACUGUGACAAUCCAUUGUGCGAUGAAAGGAGUUUGAGAGAAGAAGAUAACAUGGUGUGCAAGAGGCGGUUUAUUGAUUAAACCCUAGAUAUAUAGAAAGAGAGAUGAACAACGAUAUGGAGAAUUGGAAAGGAAAUACGGGAGUGAGU
Molecule: long non-coding RNA, 1295 nt
Filed under: Lactuca sativa (garden lettuce)
Lineage: Eukaryota; Viridiplantae; Streptophyta; Magnoliopsida; Asterales; Asteraceae
Description: long non-coding RNA (LSAT_LNC008102)
Source: RNAcentral